UACAGAGGUCCCAAGCGUUGUUCGGAUUCACUGGGCGUAAAGGGUGCGUAGGUGGCCGGGAAAGUUCGGUGUGAAAGCUCCAAGCUUAACUUGGAAAUGUCAUCGAAAACUUCCCGGCUUGAGGAUUGAAAGGGAGACUGGAAUUCUCGGUGUAGCAGUGAAAUGCGUAGAUAUCGAGAGGAACACCGGUGGCGAAGGCG
RNAcentral lists this ribosomal RNA (200 nucleotides) under uncultured bacterium. RNAcentral describes it as "partial 16S ribosomal RNA". It matches the Rfam family "Bacterial small subunit ribosomal RNA", at positions 524 to 723 of the family's 1533-position model. The record is from RNAcentral.